CUUCCUUACUCUGCCUUGGAUGUGGCAAACCUUUGAUAGUAUUUUCCGAAAAUUGUGCGAACAGUUUUUAGCCUGUUCCUGUCCGACCCCACUAUUGCUCAGACAUCAGACCUCUGCGAUGGCUUCCUCGGGUUGGUUUUGAUCACACACCACCUAGGCAUCCCGGCAGCUUGGAGCCACCUGUAGCCACACACAGAGCGGAGCGACAGGCGGCAUCCGUCCGGCGGAGACGCUGCACCCCACCCUUCAGCCUUACCUGUCCGGCCCGAGCCGGGGCCCCGCCUGGGAAUGGGGCACAGCAGGGGGGAGGAGAGGAGCCCGCUGGGCUAGCCAGGGGGAAGGAGCCAAGUCACCGCUGCUCUCCUGGGAGGGAGCCGGAGUCUCUGCAGCCCUCCCUGCGCUCCGCGGCAAAUGUGGCAGCGGGGCAGCCAUCGCGGCGGCGCCGGCGGCUCCUCCUCUAAGAGGAGAAUCUAUAAUGGAAAUUUUACAGAUGAGGAAACAGAAGCAAAAAUACAUCAAGUGACUCACCCAGGGUUGCACAGAAUGGAAAAUGCUGCCUGCGCGUCAUUAUGGAUAACCUGAACUAUGAGUACUUCAGUCAGAGGAAUACACUAACAUUCAAGAGUAACCUUCUUAAUCCUACUUCACUGAACAAGUGCAUUUUAAAAACCAUGCUGAAGGUAGAAUAAAAAGCAAGUUGCUGCUUGAACUUCAAAUCAAAAUACAAUUUCAUCAGUUGCAAGGACCUUACUUAUACGUCAUCCAUUGGCCUCACAUGACUUUACCAUAAAUGUUCCAAUAAAUUGCUUUGCUACAUGUCUAUCACUAAACUGGGCAGUAGUAACUCUGCAUCACUCCACUUCUUGCCUCUUCUUGGUUCUUGUUCUGCUAAGCCAGAGGUGAGCAAACUACAGCCUGUGGGACCCUCCUGCCCGGCCCCUGAGCUCCUAGCCUGGGAGGCUGACCCCGGCCCCUCCCCUGCUGUUCCCCCUCCCCUGCAGCCUCAGCUCACUGCACUGCCAGCAGUGGCGCUGACCCAUGGUACUGCGCGGUGGCAUGGCUGGUUCCAGCCGGGCAGCACGGCUGCCUGUCCUGGUGCUAUGGUGCUCCAGGCAGCGCGG
Long non-coding RNA from Caretta caretta (loggerhead turtle), 1121 nucleotides. RefSeq lists it as uncharacterized. The record is from RefSeq and is a predicted model, not a curated record. NCBI's taxonomy places the organism in Eukaryota, Metazoa, Chordata, Testudines, Cheloniidae.